ACCACAGUCCUUCACAGCUGCUCCUCUACCCACAUCCAUGGCUGCUGAUAAGUACUCAGAGUCUUUCAAUUCCAUUAAACUCCACAUGCAUGCAAUUAUCAAUUUGAGGAAUGGUGAACUUAUGUGUUGGUUAAACAUAAAAAGGAAUGGAAUAUUGAAUGGGGAAAAAGGAAGUUCUUGUAGUUCUUACCCUUUAAGUUCUGAACAAACAGUAGCUUAGUUCAAAUGACUUCUUCUUCCUAUCUAUCUUGCCUACAGUUUGGGUAAUUGAGAGAGUAAAGUGGUUGCAUGCAAGCUCAAACCUUCAAUUGUUCAUAUUUUGACAAGCUUUCUACUCAUAAGUCUUUGCUUUCAUUCCAAUAUCCAACCCAUUAUUUCCAAAUCCUCCAAUCUCCAUGCUUCAUUCCAUUUUACAGAACAAUAACUCCUUCUUCUACCAUAUAAGUGAAAUUUCGUGGGGAGGCAUGCAUCCAAAGGAUCCUCCAU
RNAcentral lists this long non-coding RNA (486 nucleotides) under Trifolium pratense (red clover). RNAcentral describes it as "long non-coding RNA (TPRA_LNC012222)". Lineage: Eukaryota; Viridiplantae; Streptophyta; Magnoliopsida; Fabales; Fabaceae. The record is from RNAcentral.